AACCGGGAUUCUAUAAGUAAUGGCGAAUGAACAUAGACAGGUCAUCAUCGAAUUCCUCUACAUUACGUAGGUGGAGGGUGUGAUGUUGGUGCUGUUCGUGUAUUGUGCCAGCUUGCAAUGUAAGUUUGAUUGAACGUGACAUACCCAGAGAGGGUGAAAGGCCCGUUACUUUGCAUGACUGGCAUUCAUACGGCGGCGUUAGAGUAGAAUUGCUUGAGAAUGCAGUUCGAAUGUUGUGUGGCAAACCCCAUAAAAGCCUAAAUAUGGCUGCGAGACCGAUAGCGAACAAGUACCUUGAGGGAAAGUUGAAAAGCACUCUGAAAAGAGAGUUCAUAAGUGCGUGCAACUGUACUCUGCAAAGCGAAUGAUUGGGUGAUUCGAGAUACCGUCAUUCAGGUGACUCUUGGAAUUAAAACUUUCGGGAGGCACUGCAUUUGAAGGUUCUCAAAGUUGCUUGGUGUGCUUAUGGUAGCGCGUUGUUGUGUCGGAGUGGAACAUCUCAUGAUGUAUCCAUGAGCACAGCGGCGUCGGGUUGAAGCGAUUUGACUGCUACUAUCGGCACACUGCAACAAAAUGGCUAGACUUGAUGGAACCGUGUGGUGUGCAAGGGCCUGCUAGGGCUUUUGACAUGCUUGCGGGAAACAUGUUCGAUAGUUCUGUAAGAGCAACG
This 670-nucleotide ribosomal RNA is filed under the name Filisoma caudata. Its description in RNAcentral is "partial large subunit ribosomal RNA". It matches the Rfam family "Eukaryotic large subunit ribosomal RNA", at positions 67 to 632 of the family's 3401-position model. The record is from RNAcentral. Lineage: Eukaryota; Metazoa; Acanthocephala; Palaeacanthocephala; Cavisomidae.